UACGGAGGGAGCUAGCGUUGUUCGGAAUUACUGGGCGUAAAGCGCACGUAGGCGGCUUUUUAAGUCAGGGGUGAAAUCCCGGGGCUCAACCCCGGAACUGCCCUUGAAACUGGAAGGCUAGAAUCUUGGAGAGGCGAGUGGAAUUCCGAGUGUAGAGGUGAAAUUCGUAGAUAUUCGGAAGAACACCAGUGGCGAAGGCGACUCGCUGGACAAGUAUUGACGCUGAGGUGGCGAAAAGCGUGGGGAGCCAAACAGGG
This 257-nucleotide ribosomal RNA is filed under the name uncultured bacterium. Its description in RNAcentral is "partial 16S ribosomal RNA". It matches the Rfam family "Bacterial small subunit ribosomal RNA", at positions 524 to 777 of the family's 1533-position model. The record is from RNAcentral.